Molecule: ribosomal RNA, 104 nt
Filed under: uncultured eukaryote
Lineage: Eukaryota
Description: partial small subunit ribosomal RNA
Source: RNAcentral
UGAUUUGAGUCGAUAUUUCGCCCCGGGGAGCUGUGCACCGUGCAGUGAUACAGCACUUCUUCAACCGAAUUGAAUGUCCGCUCGAAUACGAAUGAUGAAGAGGU